RNAcentral lists this unclassified non-coding RNA (1918 nucleotides) under Hevea brasiliensis (rubber tree). The record is from RNAcentral. Lineage: Eukaryota; Viridiplantae; Streptophyta; Magnoliopsida; Malpighiales; Euphorbiaceae.
UUGAAUAAUAAUGUAUAUAUUGACGGUAGGAUUAACAAUAUUAUAAUAACAAUUAAAAUGAAUAAUCAUUAAAAAAUAAGAUUCCUGACAGCAUGCUUCAUGAGGACAAGAGAAUUUUGAAGAUCAUCACAGAGUUGAUGGGGAUCGGCAAUUAUGUUGUCGUCCACUGAUAAGGUGAUUUUCAUCUUGUUCGCAUAACUUACAACAUGAAUUAUCAACGCAUUAGGUUGUCCAUAAACACCAAAUGCUAUGAAGGUCACAGGAUGGCCAAAGUAAGAUAUUUUUUCUUCUGGACCAGGUAAAUUUGAAAACCAUAGAGUGAUUCGACUUGGAAACUUCGACAUGAUCUUAUCAAUGAAAUAUUUUGGGGAAAAAAUGGCUACCAAAUAAUUCAAUUUAGCUUCAAGAGUAGCUUUCUUUCUGUCCCCAACAACUUUAGCGUUACGUACAUAAUCUAAUGGAUCAUCGUGUAAUGCAAUAGUGAAGGGAAGCAGAACACAAGCAAUCUGGUUGCCCCACCUGGCUUCACUGUCCCUUUUCAUCAUAUCAUCAAAAGCUUGGAUUCCUGCAGAUGGUCUUACGUUCACCAUAAGAGCUGCUCUAAGACGAAUGUUGUUGGGAAGAUUAUUGUUAUUCUCUUCUGCUCCUUUAUUAUCUUUCUUAUCAUCAUCAUACUUCCUGUUGAGAUAGGAAGAUAAACCAGCUUGUGUGAUUGCUACCAUCACAUCAUUAAUUGUCUGUAAAAACAAAAAUAGACAAGAGAAUAGGAAAUUUCUUAUCUUAACUCGGUCCAUCGUAACUCAAGAUAUAAAUAUACGAGAUUUAUUUAUUUAAUAGAUGAAUCCUAUUACCAUUUAUUUGUAUCUUAAAUUAACGAUAGACUAAGUUUAGACAAGAAAAAUAUUAAAAAAAUAAAGACUUUGCUGUGUUGCUAAAGUGGGUAAAGUUUUGUGUUUUACGACUUACUGUGCCCAUGACGUUCUUCAAAAACUUUACAUCAUUCAAACUGAUUGUUCUAUGAACAAACCUUCUUUGAGUAGCUUCGAGCGGCAAUGAACCUCUAAGAGGCGUUUUAGUAUCCUCCAAGAAGAAAAUUGUCCCCAGAAAUAUCAGUCCAUCAACAAUGGUAUUCCAACACAGCAACACCAACCACCAUAGCUUGAGCAAAAAUUCCCAAAAGCCUCCAGAGUUACUGGGAUUCCUUCUCUUUAUAGUUGGGAUGGUUGGACAUGCCUCAGGAUCAGAUACUUUGCGAGUGCAAGAAAGUAUAAGAGACAUGAGGGAGAUACCAUCGCCAAGUGAAUGGUGGAUGCGAAAAAGGCCAGUAGAUUCAGCUUCAGAGGUUUUAACGUUGAGAAGGUGAACGUCCCACAAAGGUAUGGACUUACUAAUUGGGGUUUUGGUAAGAUUGGAAGCGUAAUCUUCUACAAACUUAUCAGGAGACUCCAUCUUUGGAUCAAGCACUGGAACUCUUACAUGGUUAUCCAAGUUCACCUCUGUUCUGACCCAUCUCAUCUCCCCAUCCUUUUCCACAACAUGCAAACUAGAGAAACGAGGAUGCUUAAGUAAAGAAUGGCGCAAGCUGAAUUUAAAAGAAAGAGGGUUGAUUGGGGUCUUAAACCCCAUCAUGAUGAUGAUGUAGACGUUGUGAGGUUGAUGAAAUACGCGAGCUACUGGACUCAAGGGUUGGCUGUCCUCGCUAUCGUCCUUUGAUACUCGUAUUGCUCUGAGACGUUCCAUAGGCUUCUUCAUCAGGAGGAUAGAAUUGUGUUUGGAUACUUGCAAUUAAAAAAUUUGUUUAUAUAUAGAAUACGACUUGUGUAAGGUGCUCACUGAACAAGGAACAAUUAUAUAUAUGGUGAGAUUUGGCAUAGCAGUUCUAAUGUAAUCGCGCCCGCGCGCGCGCACACACACACAC